GUCUUAUUGAUUAUAAUUUUAAGUCAAAUCUGCUCAAYGAAAUUUUAAAUAGCUGCAGUAUAACUAACUGUACAAAGGUAGCAUAAUAAUUAGUUUUUUAAUUGAAAACUAGAAUGAAAGAUUUAAUGAAAUAAAAACUGUCUCAAAUUUAUUAAAUAAAUUUUUUAUUUAAAUUAAAAAAUUUAAAUAAAUUUAAAAGACGAGAAGACCCUAAAGAAUUUUUAUUUAAAAAUAAAAUUUAUUUUUUUAUUUUUUAAUUUUAAUUGGGGUAAUUUUAAAAUUUAAUUAAUUUUUAAUUAAAAUAAACAAUUAUUUUUGAAUAAAUAUAUAUUUAUUUUAAAUAUAAAAUUUAAAUUACCUUAGGGAUAACAGCAUAAUUUUUUUACAAAGUUCAAAUUUAUAAAAAAGCUUAU
Molecule: ribosomal RNA, 413 nt
Filed under: Venanides sp. JCB-2006
Lineage: Eukaryota; Metazoa; Arthropoda; Insecta; Hymenoptera; Braconidae
Description: partial 16S ribosomal RNA
Source: RNAcentral